Molecule: transfer RNA, 87 nt
Filed under: Candidatus Omnitrophota bacterium
Lineage: Bacteria; Pseudomonadati; Candidatus Omnitrophota
Description: Candidatus Omnitrophica bacterium tRNA-Leu
Rfam family: tRNA
About the family: Transfer RNA (tRNA) molecules are approximately 80 nucleotides in length. Their secondary structure includes four short double-helical elements and three loops (D, anti-codon, and T loops). Further hydrogen bonds mediate the characteristic L-shaped molecular structure. tRNAs have two regions of fundamental functional importance: the anti-codon, which is responsible for specific mRNA codon recognition, and the 3' end, to which the tRNAs corresponding amino acid is attached (by aminoacyl-tRNA synthetases). tRNAs cope with the degeneracy of the genetic code in two manners: having more than one tRNA (with a specific anti-codon) for a particular amino acid; and 'wobble' base-pairing, i.e. permitting non-standard base-pairing at the 3rd anti-codon position.
Source: RNAcentral
GCGCGAGUGGUGGAAUUGGCAGACACACCAGCUUGAGGGGCUGGCGGUCGAAAGGCUAUGCGAGUUCAAAUCUCGCCUCGCGCACCA